AGGUAAGCGACAUAGCGGUUUGAGUAUUGGACUAUGACUCUGGAGACCAGGGUUCGAAUCCCUGCUCAGCCA
This is a non-coding RNA of Phrynosoma platyrhinos (Desert horned lizard), 72 nucleotides long. The record is from the annotation of a GenBank genome assembly. Lineage: Eukaryota; Metazoa; Chordata; Lepidosauria; Squamata; Phrynosomatidae.